RNAcentral lists this transfer RNA (79 nucleotides) under Phikzvirus phiKZ. RNAcentral describes it as "Pseudomonas virus phiKZ tRNA-Asp". It matches the Rfam family "tRNA". From Rfam's summary of the family: Transfer RNA (tRNA) molecules are approximately 80 nucleotides in length. Their secondary structure includes four short double-helical elements and three loops (D, anti-codon, and T loops). Further hydrogen bonds mediate the characteristic L-shaped molecular structure. tRNAs have two regions of fundamental functional importance: the anti-codon, which is responsible for specific mRNA codon recognition, and the 3' end, to which the tRNAs corresponding amino acid is attached (by aminoacyl-tRNA synthetases). tRNAs cope with the degeneracy of the genetic code in two manners: having more than one tRNA (with a specific anti-codon) for a particular amino acid; and 'wobble' base-pairing, i.e. permitting non-standard base-pairing at the 3rd anti-codon position. Lineage: Duplodnaviria; Heunggongvirae; Uroviricota; Caudoviricetes; Chimalliviridae. The record is from RNAcentral.
UGCGCUCAUAGUUCAGUUGGUUAGAAUACCCGCCUGUCACGCGGGUGGUCAGGGGUUCGAGUCCCCUUGGGCGCGCCAU